Cyprinus carpio carpio is the source of this 614-nucleotide long non-coding RNA. NCBI's taxonomy places the organism in Eukaryota, Metazoa, Chordata, Actinopteri, Cypriniformes, Cyprinidae. The record is from Ensembl.
GGCGUUUAAAGACUCCAUUUGUCCAUUAUUUAUUUCUAAAGAUACACGACAAUGUAUAAAGGGCUCCAUUACCUUCUAUGUUACAUUAUGGCCCCGUAGAAACAGUUUUUGUAAAAAUAGGCUAACGAUUGCGUCAUAAACACUCGACUCUCUGUCGCACAGUAGAGAAAUUACCGUACAGACAGGAGGAGAAGCUCGCAGGCAAUCGGGGAGACGUCAAGAGAUAUGGCGUACUGGCGUUACAUUUUAAAAUACUAUACAAAAUAAUUAAUCAGAAUACUUACUCCUGCUCACUCAGGCCAAAGAACUCCCCGCUCAAGCUCGCCGUCUCUGCAAGAUUAACGAUGGCAGUUUGCACGCACAGCUACUAGAAGGUUUACAUCUGUCAGACAGGUUGCUGACGUCAUCAAGCUUAGUUUGAGUCUGCGCGUCAGAAACGGAAGUUCUAAAAAUCGCUAAAAACGGGCUUCACUUGUCUCAAUUGAGUUCCAAUGGGGUCGCUGUGUCCAUUUCUUUUACUGUCUAUGAUCCGAUUGAACUGCGUCUGCGGCACAAACUAAGAUGGCGGCGCCCAUCGCGCAUACAGCUCAACUAACGCGAUCAUUAUAAAGGUG